This is a long non-coding RNA of Wasmannia auropunctata (little fire ant), 420 nucleotides long. RefSeq lists it as uncharacterized. The transcript is spliced from 2 exons. Lineage: Eukaryota; Metazoa; Arthropoda; Insecta; Hymenoptera; Formicidae. The record is from RefSeq and is a predicted model, not a curated record.
GAUGUCCGAUUCUAUCUGUCCACGAGCGCUUUACCAUUAAGUACCGGACACCCUGUAUAUUUAAUAUUAGAAGAACAGUAUACAGAUUAGUGCAACAAUUGGAAGCAGAAGGCCAUGUAAGCUCUCGUCCAACAGGAUAUCUACGUUGCAUAUAAUGAGCGAAGAAGAUCAACGUCUGAUGGUCAACCUAAUGCGGAAGAUCGACUUUCGAUUAUCGUGGCAAAUGACAGGGAUGGAAGCUUGUUUAAAUUAUUAUAAUAAAAUGAUUUGAAAAACAUAUAUACAGAACUGUGUAAACAAGUUUAUCACAUCUUGUUCUGUGUAUGUGUACAACUUGUAUAUGUGGACAGACAUGUGUGUCUACACAUGUCUGUCAUUUUGUCAAAUCAUCGUAAUUUUAUUAAAAAUUAUUGAUUGCUU